RNAcentral lists this long non-coding RNA (1951 nucleotides) under Pandoravirus celtis. RNAcentral describes it as "hypothetical ncRNA". The record is from RNAcentral.
CCUGUGCGCCGGCUGGUCCCUGUUCGCCAGCGGGUCCAUCCUGGCCUCUCUGUCCAGGUUCGCCUGCAGGUCCCUGCGGCCCUUGCUCUCCUGGUGGACCUGGCUGGCCAGCAGGACCCGGUGGCCCGCGCUCGCCGCUCGGCCCAACCAGACCCAUGGGUCCUGGCGGUCCAACUGGACCCCUUGGCCCUGGUGGCCCGUCUUGACCGGUCAUCGACGCGGCGCCCGCGAGGACAACAAGUGGAGAGGCGACCACAGGGGGAGCACGUGGCCGCUCAACAUGCACAUAUACCUCGAUCGACGGCUCCGUGGUUGCGAGCGUGCGCUCCUCGGCGUGACGGCGUGAGGGUUGGGAUCGCAUCUAUUUAUCUCAAGGACCGCCAUGGGUGAGACCCCAGGUCUACUGUCACAAGCCGUGCCGCGUGAUACACUGCUUAUUCCGAGGCGACUCUCACGAGGACGGCACGUCCGGGCUGGCCCGGCGCUGCUUCGGGCGCAAACGGAUUGACGCCACCGAAACCUCCGUCGACGUUAAAGGUGACGGUCGAAGCCGCCGUGUUGGCCACGAGCACGACGAGACCGCCACCACCACCGCCGCCACUGCCCGCCGCGCUGGCUCCGCUAAAGUCGCCGGGCGACCCGGAACCGCCGCGCGCACGCAAGACACCCGUGCCGAUCACGUCGCGCGCGGCGACAAUGACCACACCGGCACCGCCUCCACCUACUCCCGGCGCCAACGCGGGAAAAGCCGCGCUGGUGCCUCCGCCGCCUCCGCCCCCACCACCCUGCAGCGCGAGUCCGUCGGCGGUGCGGCCCUGCACCAGAGCCAACGGGUUGCUCAACAGGCCCGUGCCGCCUUGUGCUGCCGCGGGCAGUGUCGUCGUGCCACCGUCGCCGGGCGCGGUGCCAGGUACCGUGGCCGGGCCACCGUCGCCGCCGGCGCCCCCGAAAGCAUGCGCGAGGCUCUGGCCAUCGGUCGAGGCACCGCCACCGGCGCCGCCACCGCCGACGGUACCGUGGCCGCCCGCGACGCCGUUUAUGCCGCCGUCAUUGUCGAUUGUGCCGUCGAGAUUGAGUGUGCCGCGCACAAAGACUCGAAAGCCGUUGGUGCGCAGGCGCGUACCUAUGGGCACGACCAGAUCCAGGUAGUGCGCGUCGGCCGUGAGGUCGACCGUGCCUGAGAUCGUGGUGCUCUGCGUCCCGGCGCCAAACAAGAGGCUGCCCAACGGACCCGCCGGCCCGGCCUCGCCUGGCGGUCCCUGGGGGCCUACCGUGCCUGCUGGGCCUUGUUCGCCAAGAGGUCCUGGCUCGCCCUCCGGACCAUCGUCGCCGCGUGGACCCGCAGGACCUUGUUGGCCAACACCGCCUGCCUCGCCUUGUGUUCCCGCCGGACCUGGGAGUCCGUCUGCACCUGGUGCGCCAUUUUGUCCUGCUGCGCCAGGUGGCCCAAUUGAUCCAGCCGGUCCAACCGUUCCCGAAUUGCCAGGCCGACCCACAGGACCUGGAGGACCUUGUCGACCUGCACGCACAGUCGCACGUCCAGGCAAGACCAACGGUGUUGCACAAACCGGCAUGGGGCGAGGCAGUCUCACAUAGACUUGCAUCACAUUUGCGUCGGCGACGCUGGUCGGUUGCACACGAGCCAUCGCACGCGCACGUGUGUGACUUUGUUCCCUUUUCUUUGUCGAUCCUUUUUCCUGGGCGCACCACUGUCUAGUCGCGCGAUCCUCCUUUUCGCUCAGACAACCAUCGCCCUGUUUUUCUUUUUUUUACCCAUUUUUUUCGUCCGUAUUUUUUGGCCAUGCAUUCUUGGACAUGACCAUACAUUUUUGCUGCAGGCGUCGGAACCCUGGGUUUUGAGGCGCCAGGUGUGCUGCCGGCGCUGCAGUCUUUCUUUUCAAAAAACAACCAGCCUGGUGGCGCCGAAUAAAGGUCCCGUGUGACAUUUUGU